UGGAUACCUGCCCUCAGCUCCUGGGAUAGCAAGCGGGAAACUGCUGGUAAUACCGGAUAAUAUCCCCGGAUCAAAGGUGUGAUUCCGGCUGGGUGAUGGGUCCGCGUCCUAUUAGGUUGUUGGUGGGGUAAUGGCCCACCAAGCCAAAGAUGGGUACCGGGCGUGAGAGCGUGGCCCGGCUCACUGGGACUGAGACACUGCCCAGAACAUCUACGGGAUGGCUGCAGUCGAG
Molecule: ribosomal RNA, 232 nt
Filed under: uncultured bacterium
Lineage: Bacteria
Description: partial 16S ribosomal RNA
Rfam family: Bacterial small subunit ribosomal RNA
Source: RNAcentral